GAUGAUGUUAUAAGAAGCUUUCCAAGCUCCACUCCUGGGGAUGGAAGGAUGAAGAAGAAGGUCCUACUGUAGCCCUGCCACUAGCUAUCAAGUCCAUGUACUGCCUUUGAGAUGUCUCAGCUGACACCCUAGCAGCUUCCAACUGCUGCAAAGCUACAAUAUUUUGUUGCACCAAGGCAACAUUCUGCUAUUUCAUAAAAGAAAAC
Molecule: long non-coding RNA, 206 nt
Filed under: Vigna radiata
Lineage: Eukaryota; Viridiplantae; Streptophyta; Magnoliopsida; Fabales; Fabaceae
Description: long non-coding RNA (VRAD_LNC007198)
Source: RNAcentral